ACUACGAAGGCAGUAUACGGAACAUUGCAAUAAACAGAAAUAAAAAAUAACUAUGAACAGUGAAAGUUUAUUCCCAAAACAAGAAAUAAAUCAACAAGAGGAAACAAGUAACGAAAAAAAUGUACCUCAGCAGUACGUACCAAAAAAGCCCUAAACAUCCACAUGGAGACAGUGCAUUCCGAUAUAUAACGUUUCAAGCCUAAUAAGGAACAAUCUAUUGGACGUGCAUAAUAUAAAUGCGAAUCGUGUAAUAAAGAGUUCGGAAAACAAAUCUGAGAUCCCACGAGGUGGAACAGCAUUACAAUGAGGAACGUUACAAGUCUAAUAGAAACCUACAUACUUAAAGACAUAUAUCAAAACUAAAACGACACAAAAAGGUUUAUAGAAAUAAUUAAUGUGUUUACGAAUCUAAGCUAUGUGAAAAUAAUUCCUAUUCCAAUUGGUACCUAGAUUAUCAUAUAGACUCGGAGUACAAAAUUAAAUGACAACAUCCUUGUGAGGAUCACACUUUCAACCACAAUGCUAUAUAAUAAUGAACUGCGAUUGACAACGGG
Molecule: long non-coding RNA, 554 nt
Organism: Cyphomyrmex costatus
Lineage: Eukaryota; Metazoa; Arthropoda; Insecta; Hymenoptera; Formicidae
Exons: 5
Source: RefSeq, a predicted model, not a curated record